AUUGAACGCUGGCGGCAGGCCUAACACAUGCAAGUCGAGCGAGCGGCGGACGGGUGAGGAAUGUCAGGGAAACUGACUGAUGGAGGGGGAUAACUACUGGAAUCGGUAACGAAUACCGCAUACCAUCCGCAGUGCCCAGAUGGGAGUAGCUAGUAGGUGGGGUAACGGCGCACGUAGGCGACGAUCCCUAGCUGGUCUGAGAGGAUGACACGCCACACUGGAACUGAGAAACGGUCCAGACGCCUACGGUAGGCAGCAGUGGGGAAUAUUGGACAAUGGGCGAAAGCCUGCUCCAGCCAUGCCGCGUGUGUGAAGAAGGUCUUCGGAUUGUAAAGCACUUUAAGUUGGGAGGCGUUACCAACAGAAUAAGCACCGGCUAACUUCGUGCCAGCAGCCGCGGUAAUAC
Molecule: ribosomal RNA, 406 nt
Filed under: uncultured bacterium
Lineage: Bacteria
Description: partial 16S ribosomal RNA
Rfam family: Bacterial small subunit ribosomal RNA
Source: RNAcentral